Magnolia sinica is the source of this 602-nucleotide long non-coding RNA. RefSeq lists it as uncharacterized. The record is from RefSeq and is a predicted model, not a curated record. The transcript is spliced from 2 exons. NCBI's taxonomy places the organism in Eukaryota, Viridiplantae, Streptophyta, Magnoliopsida, Magnoliales, Magnoliaceae.
GUGUUUGGACGUACACGCCAAUCGGCAACAUAGAAAUUGAAACCCAAUUGGUGUGUUUGGACGUACACGCCAUUCGGCAGCAUAGAAAUUGAAACCCGAAAUGGGUGGAUUGUCAGUUACCAUUUUUUUCCCAUCUUGAAGAUUUCAUUCAUCUCAAUGCAUGUUAUAUCUUUCUCUCUGUAGGACAUGUUUCCAAGGGGGCAAAACCCAAAGGUAGGGGAGCUCCGAAGAAGGCUCGUGCUAGAAAGAAAAUGCCGACUGCCGUUGAUAGUGAAGAGGAAGAUGAUGAGGUGCUCGAGCUAAAAGAACGACUGGCAGCGUAUAACAUUUAUUCUCCUUCAGAUCAAACAAGUAUAUGAUCAUCCAUGUGCAGUAAGCUUUUGGAUCAAAGUGAAGCGAAGAAUAGGGUGUUAGUUGAUGGCAAAUUGAUAACCAGUAGAUGCACAUCCAUGGAGUUUUCACUUGCAAUUGUUGAGAAGUUAUUUGGCUGCGAGAAGGCAUUGGAUCUUGCUAUUAAUGAGAACUUUAAAUAGACAUAUAACUAUUAUGUUGGUAUUGUACUUUUGUGAAUGGAAAUGAAUGAUUGGGUUUGAUUGAAUAAA